This 492-nucleotide ribosomal RNA is filed under the name uncultured bacterium. RNAcentral describes it as "partial 16S ribosomal RNA". It matches the Rfam family "Bacterial small subunit ribosomal RNA", at positions 29 to 507 of the family's 1533-position model. The record is from RNAcentral.
AGUGAACGCUGGCGGUAGGCCUAACACAUGCAAGUCGAGCGGCAGCACAGUAAGAGCUUGCUCUUACGGGUGGCGAGUGGCGGACGGGUGAGGAAUACAUCGGAAUCUACUUUUUCGUGGGGGAUAACGUAGGGAAACUUACGCUAAUACCGCAUACGACCUACGGGUGAAAGCAGGGGAUCUUCGGACCUUGCGCGAUUGAAUGAGCCGAUGUCGGAUUAGCUAGUUGGCGGGGUAAAGGCCCACCAAGGCGACGAUCCGUAGCUGGUCUGAGAGGAUGAUCAGCCACACUGGAACUGAGACACGGUCCAGACUCCUACGGGAGGCAGCAGUGGGGAAUAUUGGACAAUGGGCGCAAGCCUGGUCCAGCCAUACCGCGUGGGUGAAGAAGGCCUUCGGGUUGUAAAGCCCUUUUGUUGGGAAAGAAAAGCAGCAGGUUAAUACCCCGCUGUUCUGACGGUACCCAAAGAAUAAGCACCGGCUAACUUCGUG